GAUUGCCGGGCUUCGGUCUUGCCUUCUGCCCUUCCCUUACUGAUUUUACCCAUGUCUUUUGCGUACUAUUUGUUUCCUUGGUGGGCUUGCCUGCCGAUAGGACAUCAUUAAACCUUUUGUAAUUGCAGUCAGCGUCAGAAAAACAUAAUAAUUACAACUUUCAACAACGGAUCUCUUGGUUCUGGCAUCGAUGAAGAACGCAGCGAAAUGCGAUAAGUAGUGUGAAUUGCAGAAUUCAGUGAAUCAUCGAAUCUUUGAACGCACAUUGCGCCCCUUGGUAUUCCAUGGGGCAUGCCUGUUCGAGCGUCAUUUGUACCCUCAAGCUCUGCUUGGUGUUGGGUGUUUGUCCCGCUUUUCGCGUGGACUCGCCUUAAAACAAUUGGCAGCCGGCAUAUUGGCCUGGAGCGCAGCACAAUUUGCGCCUCUUGUCAUGAUUGUUGGCAUCCAUCAAGACCAUUUUUUGCUCUUGACCUCGGAUCAGGUAGGGAUACCCGCUGAACUUAAGCAUAUCAAUA
This 515-nucleotide ribosomal RNA is filed under the name Leptosphaeria sp. CJL-2014. RNAcentral's name for it is "eukaryotic LSU rRNA". The stretch from base 156 to 309 matches the Rfam family "5.8S ribosomal RNA". The record is from RNAcentral. Lineage: Eukaryota; Fungi; Ascomycota; Dothideomycetes; Pleosporales; Leptosphaeriaceae.